CCCGAAACAAGGUUUUGUGUAAAAGGGACACAGUUUUGUCAAAAUGGACCUCUCAUAGCAGGUUUAGGAGGACUUACGCAGUAGGUUAGGAGAAUUAACGUAGCAGGUUUAGGAGGACUUACGCAGUAGGUUAGGAGAAUUAACGUAGCAGGUCAGAAAAUUAGGUUAAGCGUAUCCCAUCUAGACAUGACCCCGAAACAAGGCCAAUAAUA
Non-coding RNA from Salmo salar (Atlantic salmon), 212 nucleotides. NCBI's taxonomy places the organism in Eukaryota, Metazoa, Chordata, Actinopteri, Salmoniformes, Salmonidae. The record is from RefSeq and is a predicted model, not a curated record.